CACUCCUGCGGGAGGCAGCAGUGGGGAAUUUUGGACAAUGGGCGAAAGCCUGAUCCAGCAAUGCCGCGUGAGUGAAGAAGGCCUUCGGGUUGUAAAGCUCUUUUGUCAGGGAAGAAACGGUGAAAGCUAAUAUCUUUUGCUAAUGACGGUACCUGAAGAAUAAGCACCGGCUAACUACGUGCCAGCAGCCGCGGUAAUACGUAGGGUGCAAGCGUUAAUCGGAAUUACUGGGCGUAAAGCGUGCGCAGGCGGUUUUGUAAGUCUGAUGUGAAAUCCCCGGGCUCAACCUGGGAAUUGCAUUGGAGACUGAAAGGCUAGAAUCUGGCAGAGGGGGGUAGAAUUCCACGUAUAGCAGUGAAAUGCGUAGAUAUGUGGAGGAACACCGAUGGCGAAGGCAGCCCCCUGGGUCAAGAUUGACGCUCAUGCACGAAAGCGUGGGGAGCAAACAGGAUUAGAUACCCGGGUAGUCCCAUGAU
This 476-nucleotide ribosomal RNA is filed under the name uncultured organism. RNAcentral's name for it is "partial 16S ribosomal RNA". It matches the Rfam family "Bacterial small subunit ribosomal RNA", at positions 334 to 801 of the family's 1533-position model. The record is from RNAcentral.